GACGAACGCUGGCGGCGUGCUUAACACAUGCAAGUCGAACGGAAAGGCCCUGCUUUUGUUGGGUGCUCGAGUGGCGAACGGGGGAGUAACACGUGAGUAACCUGCCCUUGACUUUGGGAUAACUUCAGGAAACUGGGGCUCAUACCGGAUAGGAGCUCCUGCUGCAUGGUGGGGGUUGGAAAGUGUCGGCGGUUGGGGAUGGACUCGCGGCUUAUCAGCUUGUUGGUGGGGUAGUGGCUUACCAAGGCUUUGACGGGUAGCCGGCCUGAGAGGGUGACCGGCGACAAUGGGACUGAGAUACGGCCCAGACUCCUACGGGAGGCAGCAGUGGGGAAUAUUGCACAAUGGGCGGAAGCCUGAUGCAGCAACGCCGCGUGCGGGAUGACGGCCUUCGGGUUGAAAACAGCUGUGGCCUGUGACGAAGAGUGAGUGACGGUAAUGGGUAAAGAAGCACCGGCUAACUACGUG
Molecule: ribosomal RNA, 468 nt
Filed under: uncultured bacterium
Lineage: Bacteria
Description: partial 16S ribosomal RNA
Rfam family: Bacterial small subunit ribosomal RNA
Source: RNAcentral